AUACGUAGGGUGCGAGCGUUGUCCGGAAUUACUGGGCGUAAAGGGCGCGCAGGCGGUAUAUCAAGUCAGCUGUCAAAGCCCGAGGCUUAACCUCGGUUCGUCUUAAAAACUGGCAGACUUGAGUGCAGUAGAGGCAAGUGGAAUUUCUAGUGUAGCGGUUAAAUGCGUAGAUAUUAGAAGGAACACCAGUGGCGAAGGCGGCUUGCUGGGCUGUUACUGACGCUGAGACACGAAAGCGUGGGGAGCAAAUAGGAUUAGAUACCCUAGUAGUCCACGCCGUAAACGAUGAGUACUAAGUGUCGGGUAACCGGUGCUGAAGUUAACACAUUAAGUACUCCGCCUGAGUAGUACGGUCGCAAGGCUGAAACUCAAAUGAAUUGGCGGGG
RNAcentral lists this ribosomal RNA (386 nucleotides) under uncultured bacterium. RNAcentral's name for it is "partial 16S ribosomal RNA". It matches the Rfam family "Bacterial small subunit ribosomal RNA", at positions 523 to 918 of the family's 1533-position model. The record is from RNAcentral.